Molecule: long non-coding RNA, 411 nt
Organism: Myotis lucifugus (little brown bat)
Lineage: Eukaryota; Metazoa; Chordata; Mammalia; Chiroptera; Vespertilionidae
Exons: 3
Source: RefSeq, a predicted model, not a curated record
GCCGGUUGGGGUAAGCCGUGAUGUACUCCUCAAUGAAGUCUCGGCAAGAGAUGUCUUCUAUGUCCUCCCACGUCUUUUUCACUGUCCCAAGGAAGAAGUGGGACUGAGAGAGGGCAUGUAGGGCAUGUCUUGUGUUUCAAUUUUGAUCCCGAGACUCUCCUCUCCACAGCUUCAUCUCUUACCCGAAUCUAUACUGAGCACAUCAUCAUCUUCGUCAGGAAUCUCAAUUAUUUCUGUAGGCUGGGAAGCUUCGUCCUCAGAGCUACUGUCCCGUCCUUACCUGGAUGCAUCAUCAAAGAGCUGGUCGACAUGGGCAACCUCAGUCUCCUUCUGUAUUACCCACGUUUCCAACUCUGCUAGCUGCUUCCUGCGUUGCUGUAUACAGUCCAUCUUUUCUAGCUCUUUAUCGAU